CGAUCGUACUACAUUUACCACUCGACCAGCAUUCCAGCAUUAAUAUGAAGAUUUUCUUUCUGGCUUUUCUCUUCCUGGGCAUCGUGUUCAGCUUGUCUGCAGCCCACAACUAUGAGCACGCGGAGGACGCAGCUGAACAUGGACAUCAUCAGAAUUUCGUGAGCAGCUUGGACGCCGUACACGAGCACAAGAAGCCUGAGGCUUGUUGCGGCUGAUGCAAUGCAUCAAUGGUCAUGGCAGCGCAAUGCUGUUCCAAGUUACCGCUACGUAUUAAAAUUAAAUAUAUAAAUAAAGAAGCAAUAUUUUGAAAAUCCA
This is a long non-coding RNA of Drosophila mojavensis, 315 nucleotides long. RefSeq lists it as uncharacterized. Lineage: Eukaryota; Metazoa; Arthropoda; Insecta; Diptera; Drosophilidae. The transcript is spliced from 2 exons. The record is from RefSeq and is a predicted model, not a curated record.